Molecule: long non-coding RNA, 746 nt
Organism: Dipodomys ordii (Ord's kangaroo rat)
Lineage: Eukaryota; Metazoa; Chordata; Mammalia; Rodentia; Heteromyidae
Exons: 3
Source: RefSeq, a predicted model, not a curated record
CCUCAUAUUUCUUUAUACCUACAUGAAAAGGAGAGAGCAAAUGUUAGACAACAGCUCCUGUCUUUCAGCUCUCUAUAAUUAGGGCUUCCUUUACCUCCUGGACAGGGACCAGCAAGGCAGAUUAACAUGAAGAACUCCAUGUUUCCGCCGUGUUUCACAGCUUUACAAAGCAGCAUCCAUGUCCCAGCUCACCUUAGCUUCAGAGGGUGCUGUGACACAGCCCGUCUAUGCGUGAGCACGAGACUCUAGGGUGUGCCCAGGUCUUAGGACUGAGUGAGUAGAGAGGCCAGGAUUGUCCAGGGAUCCCAUUCCCAAUGCCCAGCCCGGUGACAGCUCUACUCUACUAAGUCUGUUCACACCUUCCACAGGCUUUUCACGCAGGACCAGCUUGGGAUGGCAGCAGUGCCCGGAAAAGCAACAGCCCCACAGGUGCCCCACAGCCUCUCUACAUGAGUGCCUGCCUCUCAGGGUGACCAAAAGAAAGGCAUGGCCAAAGCCAUUCUGCUGUCCCUCAGGAAAGAGGCUGCCACCUCCAACCCCUUGGGAAGCACUUCCCAAGCACUAUGCUCUGCCCAAGUCGAGUCUCCAAGACCUGGCUCCCGAGAAAACAGAGAAAGUUGGAAAACAAAAUCACACCAUGGAGGAGGAGAUUUGCAUGCAGCCCACAGACUUCACGACAAUACUCACAAAGCUUGCAGAGACAGAGCCCCCCCGCAGUACCUACAUGGAUACCCCAAGAACUCUUA